UGCAGCCUUGAACCCCCAGCUCAAGUGAUCCUCCCACUUCAGCCUUCCGAGUAGCUGGAACCACAGGCACCCACAUGACGCCCAGUUAAUUUUUGUAUUUUUGAUAGAGAUGGGGUCACAUUAGAUUGCCCAGGCUGGUCUCGACCUCUCUGGCUCACACGAUCCUCCCGCCGCGACCUCCGAGCGGCUGGGAUCAGGCGUGAAUCACGGCGCCCGGGCUUUAUAUUUCGUUUUGAAAAUGCUGAGAUGGACGCAAAGGGCUGAGUGCUCAGUGUCCGCCAGCCACCCUCAGUUGCGGCUUCCGUCCAAAGAAGGAAUCGCACUCCCUGCUGGGGCCACUAACAGCACUAACACGAUCCGAGUGGCAUCUGCAAAGCUCGGGAACGGCGGCGACAGAUGGGAAGACGCGAGGGAGCCUGGGGGCCCUCAGGAGAGCCGCGCACCCUCGCGGCCGACUCAGCCAGCACCCACACUCUCCUACCCAGACCCCGGCCGCCUGCCAGGACUCUCUGGCCCGCACCUCUAUGGUAGGAAACCCAGAAAACAGGAAGUGGCCUCGAGGGGGGCAAGGGAGGGGCGGGGCCUCCGAGGGGCGGGGCCUCCGCCACCACCUCCGCUGCGGACCCAGGCUAGAUGGCGGCCACCGAGGGGGUUGGGGAGGCUGCGCAAGGCGGCGAGCCCGGGCGGCCGGAGCAGCCCCCGCCCCAGCCGCACCCACCGCCGCCCCAGCAGCAGCACGAAGAAGAGAUGGCGGCCGAGGCCGGGGAAGCCGUGGCGUCCCCCAUGGACGACGGGUUUCUGAGCCUGGACUCGCCCUCCUACGUCCUGUACAGGGACAGAGCAGAAUGGGCUGAUAUAGAUCCAGUGCCGCAGAAUGAUGGCCCCAGUCCCGUGGUCCAGAUCAUUUAUAGUGACAAAUUUAGAGAUGUUUAUGAUUACUUCCGAGCUGUCCUGCAGCGUGAUGAAAGAAGUGAACGAGCUUUUAAGCUAACCCGGGAUGCUAUUGAGUUAAAUGCAGCCAAUUAUACAGUGUGGCAUUUCCGGAGAGUUCUCUUAAAGUCACUUCAGAAGGAUCUACAUGAGGAAAUGAACUACAUCACUGCAAUAAUUGAGGAGCAGCCCAAAAACUAUCAAGUUUGGCAUCAUAGGCGAGUAUUAGUGGAAUGGCUAAGAGAUCCAUCUCAGGAGCUUGAAUUUAUUGCUGAUAUUCUUAAUCAGGAUGCAAAGAAUUAUCAUGCCUGGCAGCAUCGACAAUGGGUUAUUCAGGAAUUUAAACUUUGGGAAAAUGAGCUGCAGUAUGUGGACCAACUUCUCAAAGAGGAUGUGAGAAAUAACUCUGUCUGGAACCAAAGAUACUUCGUAAUUUCUAACACCACUGGCUACAAUGAUCGUGCUGUAUUGGAGAGAGAAGUCCAAAAUUGCCACAGCCACCUCAUCCUUCAGCACCCAGCACCCUACCCUGAUCAGUCAGCAGCCAUCAACAUGGAGGCCAGACCCUCCACCAGCAGAAAGAUUACGACUUGCUGAAGGCUCAGAUGAUCAUUAGCAUUUUUUAGCAAUAAAGUAUUUUUUAAUUGAGAUACACUCUGGAAAUGAUUAAACUAGUACCACAUAAUGAAAGUGCAUGGAACUAUUUGAAAGGGAUUUUGCAGGAUCGUGGUCUUUCCAAAUACCCUAAUCUAUUAAACCAAUUGCUUGAUUUACAACCAAGUCACAGUUCCCCCUACCUAAUUGCCUUUCUUGUGGAUAUCUAUGAAGACAUGCUAGAAAACCAGUGUGACGAUAAGGAAGACAUUCUUAAUAAAGCAUUAGAGUUAUGUGAAAUCCUAGCUAAAGAAAAGGACACUAUAAGAAAGGAAUAUUGGAAAUAUAUUGGAAGAUCCCUUCAAAGCAAACACAGCACAGAAAAUGAGUCACAAACAAAUGUACAGCAAUAACACCAUCCAGAAGAACUUGAUGGAAUGCUUUUAUUUUUUAUUAAGGGACACUGCAGGAAUUUAAAACGAGAGUGGUCCCUCCCUUUGCCUGUGGUGUGAAAGUGCAUCACACAGGUAUUGCUUUUUAACAAGAACUGAUGCUCCUUGGGUGCUGCUGCUACUCAGACUAGCUCUAAGUAAUGUGAUUCUUCUAAAGCAAAGUCAUUGGAUGGGAGGAGGAAGAAAAAGUCCCAUAAAGGAACUUUUGUAGUCCUAUCAACGUGUAAUCUAAUCCCUUAGCAUCAACUCCUCCCUCAGGGGUACACGCAUCAAGAUUUGUAGCAGUAAUAACUGCGGGUCACUUGUAUGUAAUGGAUAUGAGGUAGCUGAAGUUUGGUUCAGUAAGCAGGGAAUACAGUGGUUCCAUCAGAGCUGGUCUGCACACUCACAUUAUCUUGCUAUCACUGUAACCAACUAAUGCCAAAAGAAUGGUUUUGUAAUAAAAUUAUAGCUGUAUCUAAAAACA
Piliocolobus tephrosceles (Ugandan red Colobus) is the source of this 2442-nucleotide RNA transcript. It is a transcript of the gene named farnesyltransferase, CAAX box, subunit alpha, with no coding region annotated. The record is from RefSeq and is a predicted model, not a curated record. The transcript is spliced from 10 exons. NCBI's taxonomy places the organism in Eukaryota, Metazoa, Chordata, Mammalia, Primates, Cercopithecidae.